RNAcentral lists this ribosomal RNA (405 nucleotides) under uncultured bacterium. RNAcentral's name for it is "bacterial SSU rRNA". It matches the Rfam family "Bacterial small subunit ribosomal RNA", at positions 917 to 1344 of the family's 1533-position model. The record is from RNAcentral.
GGGCCCGCACAAGCGGUGGAGUAUGUGGUUUAAUUCGAUGCAACGCGAAGAACCUUACCAGGGUUUGACAUCCUGCGAAUCUCUUGGAAACAGGAGAGUGCCUUCGGGAACGCAGUGACAGGUGGUGCAUGGCUGUCGUCAGCUCGUGUCGUGAGAUGUUCGGUUAAGUCCGGCAACGAGCGCAACCCACAUCCCUAGUUGCCAGCAGUUCGGCUGGGCACUCUAUGGAAACUGCCCGUGAUAAGCGGGAGGAAGGUGUGGAUGACGUCAAGUCCUCAUGGCCCUUACGGGUUGGGCUACACACGUGCUACAAUGGCAUCUACAGUGGGUUAAUCCCCAAAAGAUGUCUCAGUUCGGAUUGUCGUCUGCAACUCGACGGCAUGAAGUCGGAAUCGCUAGUAAUCG